This 253-nucleotide ribosomal RNA is filed under the name uncultured bacterium. Its description in RNAcentral is "partial 16S ribosomal RNA". It matches the Rfam family "Bacterial small subunit ribosomal RNA", at positions 524 to 776 of the family's 1533-position model. The record is from RNAcentral.
UACGUAGGGGGCAAGCGUUGUCCGGAUUCAUUGGGCGUAAAGAGCGUGUAGGCGGCCAGGUAGGUCGGUUGUGAAAACUGGAGGCUCAACCUUCAGAGGUCGACCGAAACCAUCUGGCUAGAGUCCGGGAGAGGAGAGUGGAAUUCCUGGUGUAGCGGUGAAAUGCGCAGAUAUCAGGAGGAACACCGGUGGCGAAGGCGGCCCUCUGGACGGUGACUGACGCUGAGACGCGAAAGCGUGGGGAGCAAACAGG